UUGCACAGAAACGGCUUGGUUUAUAAAAGGGAAAAUUUGUUUGAAUUUGUUGCACUUGAUUUGAGACAUGCUGGUCUCCUAGUGCCAUUUCAGAGCUCUGAAAUAAACUUGGCUUGCUUUCUCCCCUCGGUGUCUUUAUUGGUGCCAAGCACACCGGGCAACGAACCCCUGUUUGCCAUCUCGGGGCCCAAUUCUUAGACAGUGGAGAAGCAGUUGCGGGCAACGGUGGGGAACCGGUCCCGUGGAUAGGGCGAUGGUGCAGAAGCGGACCCUUGGAUAAGAUACACCGAAGAUUCACAGCCUCUUCUUCUGGAUACCCCUGUCCACUCCCUGCAACCUGAUGACUCCGUUCUCAUGUGGACCUGGAAGGACGAGCCCCUCCAAGAGAAGUGGGAAGGGACCCCACAUCAUCCUGCUUGUUUCCCACACAGCGGCAAAGGUCAAAGGACACAAGAACUGGUUUCAUCACUCUCUACUGAAAGCAGUACCCGCUCCUGAACAGUGGACUGUCCAGCCUGCUGAGAAGACUGCUAACGACGAUUUGGGACUUAAGCUGUUAUUCAAAAGACAGUAAGGGUCAUUGGGAAUGCUUUGUGAUAUCUCUCUGAACAGCCACAGCACACUCCCCGCAAGAACCCUGAGCAUUGGUUUUUGCCAAUGAUACCUUGGCCAUAGAGAAACGCAUAAGUGCUGAGCUGUACCAGCUUCGACUGCUGGCUUUGCAAAACCGUCAGGCCCUAGAUUAUGUGUUAGCUUCACGGGGCAGUGUAUGUGCCCUUAUUGGAGAAGAAUGUUGUACCUAUGUCCCAGAGUUUUCACAGGAUAUUAACAAGCAUAUCUUGUCAGCUAAACAGGCCUUGAACCAGUGGAAGGCCCAGGAAGGGUAACCCACUAUUUUGGAUUCCCUUUGGGGUUGGUUACCUGGUUUAGGGGAACUAAGGGUAUAGGGGGAAGCAUUGUUCGCAUCUUGCUCACAGGUGUUGUGAUAUGUUUUGUCCUUUUCCUUUUGCUCAUUUGCUGUAAAGUGCUCAUAUGUAAGAUUUGUACCUCCCCCUUCCCAGAGGUUCCUUUAUAUUCUCUCAUUGAUAAUCCUGAUUGUAUGGAGCUUAAUCGCAUUUUGUUUUUAGAGUAUGAGAAAACUCUGACAAAGGUUUGUUGAGUGUUCUCAAAGGAGGGAUUGUUGGUGUCACUAGGCAUAGUUACCAGGUAACUCGGGAGAGUGGAAGGCCAAAAGUGCCGAUGAAGCUCUUCUGCUCUGGGCCUACCUGAACUACAAAACUCCAUCUUGUGAACUCUCACCUACUUCUGUGCUAACGGCUUACAUGCUGAAGCAGAAAUGUAAGGGUCAGCUUUUCUAGCAGGCAGCUGCUGUAAACAGGCCUUGCAAGGCCAAGAGAUAAGCAGACAAAUGGGAACUUUUCUAAUUGUAACUGCUACAGAAGGGAGGGGUGGGAGGGGUAAGAGGGAGUAACAGGACAAAGGCUUGCACAGAAACAGCUUGGUUUAUAAAAGGGAAAAUUUGUUUGUAUUUGUUGCACUUGAUUUGAGACAUGCUGGUCUCCUAGUGCCAUUUCAGAGCUCUGAAAUAAACUUGGCUUGCUUUCUC
This is a long non-coding RNA of Malaclemys terrapin pileata, 1606 nucleotides long. RefSeq lists it as uncharacterized. NCBI's taxonomy places the organism in Eukaryota, Metazoa, Chordata, Testudines, Emydidae. The transcript has 2 exons. The record is from RefSeq and is a predicted model, not a curated record.